UCCAUCGCGAGGUGGAAUCUGAAGGAAGCAGUAGGCAAACUCUUGGCCUGACGAACAGAAACUAUAUACAAGGCCAGAAAUGUUGGAUAAGGUUGCUAUACAAACCGAAGUCCCAAACUGUACGGGAACAUUAUGGUAAAUAUAGCAGGCAGAUGAGAGGAAAGUUAUCGUU
Molecule: non-coding RNA, 172 nt
Organism: Flavobacterium johnsoniae
Lineage: Bacteria; Pseudomonadati; Bacteroidota; Flavobacteriia; Flavobacteriales; Flavobacteriaceae
Source: Rfam